RNAcentral lists this ribosomal RNA (210 nucleotides) under Escherichia coli O145:H28 str. 2009C-3292. RNAcentral's name for it is "partial 16S ribosomal RNA". It matches the Rfam family "Bacterial small subunit ribosomal RNA", at positions 1 to 215 of the family's 1533-position model. Lineage: Bacteria; Pseudomonadati; Pseudomonadota; Gammaproteobacteria; Enterobacterales; Enterobacteriaceae. The record is from RNAcentral.
UUAAAUUGAAGAGUUUGAUCAUGGCUCAGAUUGAACGCUGGCGGCAGGCCUAACACAUGCAAGUCGAACGGUAACAGGAAGCAGCUUGCUGCUUCGCUGACGAGUGGCGGACGGGUGAGUAAUGUCUGGGAAACUGCCUGAUGGAGGGGGAUAACUACUGGAAACGGUAGCUAAUACCGCAUAACGUCGCAAGACCAAAGAGGGGGACCU